CCUACGGGAGGCAGCAGUGAGGAAUAUUGGUCAAUGGACGAGAGUCUGAACCAGCCAAGUAGCGUGAAGGAUGACUGCCCUAUGGGUUGUAAACUUCUUUUAUAUGGGAAUAAAAUGUUCCACGUGUGGGAUUUUGUAUGUACCAUAUGAAUAAGGAUCGGCUAACUCCGUUCCAGCAGCCGCGGUAAUACGGAGGAUCCGAGCGUUAUCCGGAUUUAUUGGGUUUAAAGGGAGCGUAGGUGGAUUGUUAAGUCAGUUGUGAAAGUUUGCGGCUCAACCGUAAAAUUGCAGUUGAACCUUGCAGGCUUGAGUACAGUAGAGGUGGGCGGAAUUCGUGGUGUAGCGGUGAAAUGCUUAGAUAUCACGAAGAACUCCGAUUGCGAAGGCAGCUCACUGGACUGCAACUGACACUGAGGCUCGAAAGUGUGGGUAUCAAACAGGAUUAGAUACCCUUGUAGUC
Molecule: ribosomal RNA, 460 nt
Filed under: uncultured bacterium
Lineage: Bacteria
Description: partial 16S ribosomal RNA
Rfam family: Bacterial small subunit ribosomal RNA
Source: RNAcentral